UACGGGGGGGGCAAGCGUUGUUCGGAAUUACUGGGCGUAAAGGGCUCGUAGGCGGCCAACUAAGUCAGGCGUGAAAUCCCUCGGCUUAACCGGGGAACUGCAUCUGAUACUGGAUGGCUGGAGAUUGGGAGAGGGAUGCGGAAUUCCAGGUGUAGCGGUGAAAUGCGUAGAUAUCUGGAGGAACACCGGUGGCGAAGGCGGCAUCCUGGACCAACACUGACGCUGAUGAGCGAAAGCCAGGGGAGCAAACGGG
Molecule: ribosomal RNA, 253 nt
Filed under: uncultured bacterium
Lineage: Bacteria
Description: partial 16S ribosomal RNA
Rfam family: Bacterial small subunit ribosomal RNA
Source: RNAcentral